ACGGGGGCCCGCACAAGUCAGUGGAGCAUGUGGUUUAAUUCGAAAGCAACGCGAAGAACCUUACCAGGGCUUGACAUCGGUCUGAUGGGUCCAGAGAUGGAUCGUCCCGCAAGGGCAGACCAGACAGGUGGUGCAUGGUUGUCGUCAGCUCGUGUCGUGAGAUGUUGGGUUAAGUCCCGCAACGAGCGCAACCCUUGAUCGAUGUUGCCAGCACGUGAUGGUGGGGACUCAUCGAUGACUGCCGGUGACAAACCGGAGGAAGGCGGGGAUGACGUCAAAUCGAUCAUGCCCCUUAUGUCCUGGGCGACACACGUGCUACAAUGGACGGGACAACGGGACGCGAAGGCGCGAGCCGGUGCGAAACCCUAAAAGCCGUUCGU
RNAcentral lists this ribosomal RNA (380 nucleotides) under uncultured bacterium. RNAcentral's name for it is "bacterial SSU rRNA". It matches the Rfam family "Bacterial small subunit ribosomal RNA", at positions 913 to 1289 of the family's 1533-position model. The record is from RNAcentral.